GUGAGGGGGUGGGAGGCGGGGGGCUUCACAAACUAAUGUGCUGCUGGCCUGUGAGUCAAACUUCAGGCUUUGGAAAGUUCAGUUUUGCUUCAACUAUGCAGGAAAGAAAAUGGGCUUCCUCAUCGAGACCAGGAGCUGCUCCUGCCACAGUCUGGUUCUUCAUCUUUAACCCUUCAACACUCCAGCUCAAAUGGACUUGGGCAAAGAAUCAAAGUCGGGAUUGAAGCCGAGACUGCAGCUUACAGCUCAAGCUGUCAAGGGGGCUACCAGUCUGGAAGCCGUCCAUGUCCCCCGCCCCAUGCCACCUCAGCAGCAGAGCUGAAUGUGAGCUAUGGCAUAUCCUGUCUUUCCAGAUCUACAAGUGUGACUGGGAUUUUUUUUAAAAAGUGACUUACGGUGUGGCUAUCAAUACUACUCAACAGUUUUCAGAAAACUUGCGGCUGCUGUCUCAAACCAGACUAGACGAAGAUGCUUCAGGAGUCCUAGGAA
This 489-nucleotide long non-coding RNA is filed under the name Bos indicus x Bos taurus (hybrid cattle). RNAcentral describes it as "lncRNA (ENSBIXG00005025922.1)". Lineage: Eukaryota; Metazoa; Chordata; Mammalia; Artiodactyla; Bovidae. The record is from RNAcentral.